AGAGUUUGAUCAUGGCUCAGAACGAACGCUGGCGGCAUGCCUAACACAUGCAAGUCGAACGGUGUCUUCGGACACAGUGGCGGACGGGUGAGUAACGCGUGAGAAUCUGGCUUCAGGUCUGGGACAACCACUGGAAACGGUGGCUAAUACCGGAUGUGCCGUAAGGUGAAAGGUUAACUGCCUGAAGAUGAGCUCGCGUCUGAUUAGCUAGUAGGUGUGGUAAAGGCGCACCUAGGCGACGAUCAGUAGCUGGUCUGAGAGGACGAUCAGCCACACUGGGACUGAGACACGGCCCAGACUCCUACGGGAGGCAGCAGUGGGGAAUUUUCCGCAAUGGGCGAAAGCCUGACGGAGCAAUACCGCGUGAGGGAGGAAGGCUCUUGGGUCGUAAACCUCUUUUCUCAGGGAAGAACACAAUGACGGUACCUGAGGAAUAAGCAUCGGCUAACUCCGUGCCAGCAGCCGCGGUAAUACGGAGGAUGCAAGCGUUAUCCGGAAUGAUUGGGCGUAAAGCGUCCGCAGGUGGCAGUGUAAGUCUGCUGUCAAAGGUCAGGGCUUAACCCUGAACAGGCAGUGGAAACUACACAGCUAGAGUGCGGUGGGGGCAGAGGGAAUUCCCAGUGUAGCGGUGAAAUGCGUAGAGAUUGGGAAGAACACCGGUGGCGAAGGCGGCUCGCUGGGCCACACCUGACGCUGAGACGCGAAAGCUAGGGGAGCGAACAGGAUUAGAUACCCCCGUAGUCC
This 744-nucleotide ribosomal RNA is filed under the name uncultured cyanobacterium. RNAcentral describes it as "bacterial SSU rRNA". It matches the Rfam family "Bacterial small subunit ribosomal RNA", at positions 8 to 796 of the family's 1533-position model. The record is from RNAcentral. Lineage: Bacteria; Bacillati; Cyanobacteriota.